RNAcentral lists this ribosomal RNA (46 nucleotides) under Nectriaceae sp. RNAcentral describes it as "partial 28S ribosomal RNA". Lineage: Eukaryota; Fungi; Ascomycota; Sordariomycetes; Hypocreales; Nectriaceae. The record is from RNAcentral.
GGUUGACCUCGAAUCAGGUAGGAAUACCCGCUGAACUUAAGCAUAU